AGAGUUUGAUCAUGGCUCAGAGUGAACGCUGGCGGCAGGCCUAAUACAUGCAAGUCGAACGGCAGGCACAGCAGAGCUUGCUCUGUGGGUGGCGAGUGGCGGACGGGUGAGGAAUACGUGGGAAUCUGCCCAGUCGUGGGGAUAACGUAGGGAAACUUACGCUAAUACCGCAUGCGCCCUUCGGGGGAAAGCCGGGGACCUUCGGGCCUGGCGCGAUUGGAUGAGCCCACGUCGGAUUAGCUAGUUGGCGGGGUAAAGGCCCACCAAGGCGACGAUCCGUAGCUGGUCUGAGAGGAUGAUCAGCCUCACUGGAACUGAGACACGGUCCAGACUCCUACGGGAGGCAGCAGUAGGGAAUAUUGGACAAUGGGCGCAAGCCUGAUCCAGCCAUGCCGCGUGAGUGAAGAAGGCCCUCGGGUUGUAAAGCUCUUUUGUCCGGAAAGAAAAGCGCCGGGUUAAUACCCUGGUGUCCUGACGGUACCGGAAGAAUAAGCACCGGCUAACUUCGUG
This 510-nucleotide ribosomal RNA is filed under the name uncultured bacterium. Its description in RNAcentral is "bacterial SSU rRNA". It matches the Rfam family "Bacterial small subunit ribosomal RNA", at positions 8 to 507 of the family's 1533-position model. The record is from RNAcentral.